AUACGGAGGGUGCAAGCGUUAUCCGGAUUCAUUGGGCUUAAAGGGUGCGCAGGCGGACUUGUAAGUCAGUGGUGAGAUCCCGGGGCUCAACCUCGGAACUGCCAUUGAUACUGCAAGUCUUGAGUUUGGUUGAAGUGGGCGGAAUGUAGCAUGUAGCGGUGAAAUGCAUAGAUAUGCUACAGAACACCGAUCGCGAAGGCAGCUCACUAAACCAACACUGACGCUCAGGCACGAAAGCGUGGGGAGCGAACAGGAUUAGAAACCCCAGUAGUCC
RNAcentral lists this ribosomal RNA (274 nucleotides) under uncultured bacterium. RNAcentral's name for it is "partial 16S ribosomal RNA". It matches the Rfam family "Bacterial small subunit ribosomal RNA", at positions 523 to 796 of the family's 1533-position model. The record is from RNAcentral.